UGGCUGUUGUAUGUGUUCUUCUGAGCUCUUCCCCUCUGGGAUCCACAGCCUCAGCACUUCCUUCCCUUUCUCCUGGGCAGCAGCAGCAUUUCUGUCCUACUGGUAACCAUAGGCAGCAUGGCUGUUUGCUUCUCUGUGGACGGGGAUUGCCCACACCUGGGCAGCUGCCUGGCUGCUCUCUGGAGUAGACAUUUUCUGAUACCAACCUGACCCUCCUUGGCACAAGGUGAGACCAGGACCUCCCAUGAAGAUGAAGGGGAGGAAGAGUGGGGUGCACCACCAUGCACACCCCAUUGACAGAACCACCUGGGAGUCUUCGUGGUCCAGCAUUGUGCAGUUAUUGUGCAUUGUCCUUGUAGACUCACUUCAGCAGUAACCUUGCACCACUGUGCAUUUUGCUGGCACACUGACAAUCCCAGUGAGCAGCUGCAGUUCCAUGGUGGCUACAUUAGGAAUGUAGCUUCUGCAGCCAUCACUGUGGCCAUCAGCAGCGGAUGUCUGCUGUGCAGAGGGAAAUGGGUGCCAAAAGCAAGCACCUGGGCAUGGAAAGCUGGUUUCUGUUACUGUAAGUGAACACCUUUAGUUUGUAAAUGCAAGAAAACUGGAGAAGUUUAUGAAAGAAGAUGAAGGAUGGGGUACCAGGAGACAAAAGACUCAUCGCCUUGCAGGAAAGAGAUGAAUACAGAAGAAGAAGAGGAGAUGGAUUGAAGCUCGUUUUGAAGGCAGAAGGAACCAUCCCCAGGUCAGCUUCCUGUACUUCCAAUGACAUUUAUAGAAGUGAACAGAGAAAAUGCAGCUGCCUGAUGCCCUGGGCCCUGCCAGCAUCCAGAUGUGGGCACCAUCAGAAGGAAAGCAGCCCCUCAGCCCAAUGAUGCCCAGGACCACCCCAGGGCUGCGGCAUUGCACACCCAGCGCAUGGCUCAGCACAGCUCCUGUUGGGUUCUGACUCAGCGUGUGCAAGGCAAAUAAGAUGGGGGGAAUUUGAAUGACUUUUUUCAUCAAUCAGACUUUGGAUGGGAACAGCUCCCUUUCUUUCCAUUUGUAAUCCGUGAGAGGAAACGCUGAGGAAAUCCACGUGUUUCUGUUCCAGCCCUGAAGUGAGACACUCACAAGGACCAACUUUGCAGGAAGGUGGUGAGGAACUGAAUAGCUGUGGGCAGCAGGUGUGGUGCUUUAUCUGUAUGUACAAAGCUGACAUAGAGCGAGCAGCAGCCUGGCAACUCAGCAGAGCCUGCUAGGGUGGAGCCCAGAUCUGUGAUGCUUAAUGAAUUCUUCGUGCUUAAUGAAUCACAGCGUGCCCGUGGUGUGCUACUCGGUGGUUGGAGUGAGGGGAAGGCUGAAGGAAACUUCCCAUAGGGGUGGGAGGAAUGGCAGCAGUGCAGCAGAUGGAGUGCUCUGCUGACAUGCAAAGCAGCGCGCAUUAAAAGGAGUAAUGUGAAGUGUAACUCACUGGUGAGCUCUAAAUUAGCUGUAGUAAUGACAAAGACAUGGGCAUCACUGUGGAGAGUUAAUAAAAGUAUCUGCUGAGUAGGCA
This 1534-nucleotide long non-coding RNA is filed under the name Phasianus colchicus (ring-necked pheasant). RNAcentral describes it as "lncRNA (ENSPCLG00000008608.1)". Lineage: Eukaryota; Metazoa; Chordata; Aves; Galliformes; Phasianidae. The record is from RNAcentral.